UCUGCCGUUGUCGUCCGUCGACUUGACGAUCAAGCAAAACGCAAAAUUUGGGGAAUUCGGGGCCAAACAGAGGAGAACGAUAAUAACGCAAAAAAGCUAGACUAGAUCAAACGUAGUACAAGUAUCGAACAGAAGAAGGUGCGAAAUCAGGUAGAAAUUUAUUAUGUUUGCGUUCAUUAUAUGUUACUCGUAGCUGCAUCGUACGUAACUGUCGGUAUUAUCAGUGGUCGCUAUUAUUCGCGAAAGAGAACACAAAAUUUAUCUAACAUUGAUUGACAAAAAUUUACAAAUCGUCUUUUUCCUCUGAUUGUUUUAACUCCUUCGCAGUAUAUCAUAUGUAUUAUUAAUCUGUUCAGUUUUUCUUGCGUCGGUCACGUACAUGUGUGUGAUAUCGUCCGACGUUAUCAUCCGCGGACGUUACCAUCCGCGGACGUUACCAUUCGCGGUUUCUUUUCCGUCAUUACCGAUCGGGCUUAGUCGUUUCUUUGCGAUUCUACGAGUGGCUUGGCUUUUUGUCGAAUGUCGCGCGCAUUGGUCACGGACGUUCAACCUCCGCUGUCUCUCGUCAAGUUCAAUGAAAAGGUAUCAAUCGUUUUCUGUUCACCUGCAAGAGGUUCUUGGACGACACGGCGGCCAUAAUGCAGCAAUCCACUAGGGGACGACGAAAUUGCAUGAUGACUUCCCGGAGAAUUACCUGGUUAGCUCGUAAUUGCAUUUGAUUCCGUUAUUGCUAACACGAAAACUUACUUCCACGAGCAUCUCGUUCGCCUGUAGGAAGUCUUAGAAACGCAGUAUGAGAAACAUUUCGGAGGCAAUAAACUAACGACUACAAUGGCAAAUUCCCUACAAAAUUUUGCAGUUUUUAGGACUUCAAGAUGGAAAUAUUGCGUUCGUUCUGUUUCAUUCAUAAAGAUGUUCUUGCGCGGUUGUGCAAGACAGUGAGAGAACGACGACAUUUCGCGUCCGGUUACUCCAGCUUGGUCAGAUUGGCGUUUCGUAUUUAUAGUUUGACCUAAUCUUCCUAAGAGUCAAAGAUGAAAAGACACACGACGCGCGGCAAAGAGAGAGAAAGAGAGAGAGAGAGAAAGAGAGAGAAGUUACUCGCGCGGUAUCCCGACUCUCCGUUUUCCGUGAACGUCGUCAUGCCUCUGGCAUUCGUUUUCGCCCCUUCACAUUUCAGCGGGGCAGCGACGAAAUUAACGCCGAAGAGGUGAGUAACCCGCUCUCUGGGAUUGGCAACAACAGUCUUCUCGUUGCGCGCGACGCGUCUACUCUUACGUAACAUCUCCACGAUCUUGAUUUAAAGCUACUCUUCUUUCUGAACUGUAAUAAACAUUUCUCUUCUCCACAUAUUUUCCUAAAUAAAUGACGUUUCUGCUAUAAACACACUGAUAUCGACUUAAAUUAUUAUAUGUUACUUUAUUCUAACAGAAAAAAAUUAUGUAUUUUUCACAUUUUUUUGUUACAUAUGCAGAAACAUAUUUGUUUACACACUCUGUAUAUAUUAUUCUAGGUUUUAUCACACAUUAAAGUUAAAUUGUCUUUAAUUAUAUAUAAAAUUCAAUAGAUUGUUAAACAAUCGUAUCUCGUUCAAAUGUUCUGCAAUGAAAUUUUUAACAUGCUUAAAACUUAUUAUACAUGUAAUCUGGAAAACGAUACAAUACGGAAACGAUGCAGGGAAAAGCAUAUGAACUCCCUAAGUCUUUUAAAUAAGACGGCGCGCUGCGAUUUGUCGGAUUUGUGGAAACGCGAGCGAUUUGUCCUGCUUUCGGUGCGAGUUACGUAAACAGCAGCCACGAAAAAUAAAAAAAAAAUGAAAAAAAAAGAAGCGACAUAUGGUACGUUCGUAUCUCCGCCGUGAUAUCGCCUUAUCCCCAUGGGAGACUUUAAGCUGGCCAGAGCUUAACGAUCGCGGGAACGACGGCCACUUUGGCGAAGGGAAAACGACUGCUCGUUCACCGUCUCUCCUUCCCGUCUCAGGAGAAAGAAAUUCUCCGACUCCUUCGUCGACCUCGCUUGACGGCCAAUUAAGGAGACCGAUUACCCUCGCUCGUAUUAUUCGCUCAAAUAAAAUGCGUUACGUCUCGUGUCAGAACUUCAGCUCGUAUAAUUACGGGAAUACUUGUCCCUACCAGAAUGACGCGAAAUGCACUCGGCGUCGCGUUUAAAAAGUAAUUCUAAAAGCCUCUUCCGAAAAUCUGGUUUAAUAAUUGUCUCGCCCUUUUGCAAAAUUUUUUCCACAAAAUUACGCGGACUCUCAGCGACACGCUAAUUGUAUGCAUUUUCCAGAAUCACAUUUUAACAGCACGAUGUGCACUUCUACUUCCUCUCCAUUUACUAUAUUAUAAUGUAAAAAAACUGAAUGUAAGUAUUAUAUUAUUACUAUUUAGCUACAUUCAGUUUUUAAAUUUUGCCAGUGUACAAUCGGGGCGGUUUAAACAUAAUUUUUCAAAUGAAAGAACUCAAAGAAAAUAUAAAACAAUUAAAUAUCCUUAAAUAAAAUUAGUUUUCUUUGCUUCUCUAGUCAGUUGGUAUCAUUUAACGAGUGACAAAUGCACGGUAGGAAAUUUCGUAGAAUUUUAAGGGAACAAGAUUCGAUGCAAAUUAUUAAAACCAUGAUUAUAAUGACUUUAGGCAUGUGCAUAAACGAUCCAUUAGAACAUGAUGAUAUCAAAUUAUGUUUCCUCUGAAGAGCAGUUUUUAUUUUUCGAUGGGACACAUGGGAAAAGGACAAAAAAUUACGAGCUCCCCCCCUCUCUCUCUCUUCUCUCCUUGUCUCUCUGUAUCUAUCUAUCUCUCUCUCUCUCUCUAUGAAAUUCGCGGCCGCAUAAACCCGGCUGUCUGGCCAAUUAUCCUUUGAUGUGCUUACUCGUACGUAGCGUUGCAACUCGCAUUCGACUCCACUUAUUUCAUAAGCUAAGAGACGAGAGGGUAAGGGAGAGACUAAUAUUCAUCAUUCGCUCUUCUCUCGCGAAAAUCAACAGUUACGUAUUCUGUUUGCCGACGUCUCGCUUCGCCGCUCGGCGCUAUCGGGCGUCCUUUGAUCCUCGCGAUGAAUAUCGUCCGUUUGCGUCGACAAUUACGAAUUGAGUAAUGAGAUGAAAUACGUGGCGCCGACGACUCGUUCACGACCGACGCGAAAUCAAGCACUUGGAUUCACUCGCAAUCGAGUUUACGAUUCAUGUGCUUAAUGAAAAUUAUCGUGUCUUGGUGUGUAGUAGUCAAGUUUAUGAAUCUUUUGAGAUAUUUGAAUAAUUUUGCAAAAAAUUUAUUG
RNAcentral lists this long non-coding RNA (3274 nucleotides) under Monomorium pharaonis (pharaoh ant). RNAcentral describes it as "uncharacterized LOC105835367, transcript variant X3". The record is from RNAcentral. Lineage: Eukaryota; Metazoa; Arthropoda; Insecta; Hymenoptera; Formicidae.